This 337-nucleotide ribosomal RNA is filed under the name uncultured archaeon. RNAcentral describes it as "partial 16S ribosomal RNA". It matches the Rfam family "Archaeal small subunit ribosomal RNA", at positions 133 to 475 of the family's 1478-position model. The record is from RNAcentral.
GGGGAAACUGGGGAUAAUCCCUGAUAGAUCUCGGUCGCUGGAAUGCUCCGAGAUCCAAAGCUCCGGCGCUCAAGGAUGGGUCUGCGGCCUAUCAGGUAGUAGUGGGUGUAGCGUACCUACUAGCCUACGACGGGUACGGGUUGUGAGAGCAAGAGCCCGGAGAUGGAUUCUGAGACACGAAUCCAGGCCCUACGGGGCGCAGCAGGCGCGAAAACUUUACAAUGCGGGAAACCGUGAUAAGGGAACUCUGAGUGCCCGUAAAAUCGGGCUGUCCAUCAGUUUAAAUACCUGGUGAAGAAAGGGCCGGGCAAGACCGGUGCCAGCCGCCGCGGUAACA